Molecule: ribosomal RNA, 253 nt
Filed under: uncultured bacterium
Lineage: Bacteria
Description: partial 16S ribosomal RNA
Rfam family: Bacterial small subunit ribosomal RNA
Source: RNAcentral
UACGUAGGGGGCAAGCGUUGUUCGGAAUUACUGGGCGUAAAGGGCGCGUAGGCGGCUUGACAAGUCACUUGUGAAAUCUCCGGGCUUAACUCGGAACGGCCAAGUGAAACUGUCAUGCUAGAGUGCAGAAGGGGCAAUCGGAAUUCUUGGUGUAGCGGUGAAAUGCGUAGAUAUCAAGAGGAACACCUGAGGUGAAGACGGGUUGCUGGGCUGACACUGACGCUGAGGCGCGAAAGCCAGGGGAGCAAACGGG